This 301-nucleotide small RNA is filed under the name Pan troglodytes (chimpanzee). Its description in RNAcentral is "sense intronic". Lineage: Eukaryota; Metazoa; Chordata; Mammalia; Primates; Hominidae. The record is from RNAcentral.
AUUGAUUGUUAUGCCCUUCAAGCAUGAAUUAGCACCUUAUGGUUGGGUAUGUUGACUCAGAAUAUUCAAGAUAAGUCCAGCCACAAUCGAUUCCGCAGGGAUCAGGCUCCCGCCAUGAAAAUGACAAUAGCAUCUUGGAGAGGAAUGCACUGCGGACAUGCCCACUUGACAACUAAAUAGAAAGAUGGAAAAAGCCCACUUCACCCUACUAUUCUCACUAAUUUCAACUAAAAUUUACGAAGAAAAUGCAUGGAGUCCAUAUUUCAGUACUCUAAGAAGUAAGAGACAGUAGGCAUGUUGG